This 230-nucleotide unclassified non-coding RNA is filed under the name uncultured fungus. RNAcentral describes it as "sequence contains ITS1". Lineage: Eukaryota; Fungi. The record is from RNAcentral.
GUCUUUUGGUUAUUUAUAAAGGUGUAUUUAGUUAAAUAGUUUUAAAAAGGGGUGUUUUUUUUGGUAAAAAAAGUUUGAGGCCCUUUGCUCUUCUGCAUAGUAAAACCAGUGCAGAAAAAGCAAAGAAACCUCGAACAAAGAGCACAAAGGGGUGUGUAAGUCUAUAGAGAGAAAAAAGUAAAAACUUUUUUUUUCCUAUGAUGAUCCUUCCGCAGGUUCACCUACGGAAA